UCUAUUUUAUUUAUAUAGUUUAAAUAAAACAUUACAUUUUCACUGUAAAAAUAAAAACUUCUUUUUU
This 67-nucleotide transfer RNA is filed under the name Apocheima cinerarius. RNAcentral describes it as "tRNA-Glu". The record is from RNAcentral. Lineage: Eukaryota; Metazoa; Arthropoda; Insecta; Lepidoptera; Geometridae.